This is a long non-coding RNA of Patella vulgata (common limpet), 353 nucleotides long. RefSeq lists it as uncharacterized. The transcript has 3 exons. The record is from RefSeq and is a predicted model, not a curated record. NCBI's taxonomy places the organism in Eukaryota, Metazoa, Mollusca, Gastropoda, Patellidae.
UGGGAUAUCAAGAGUUAAACAUCGUAAUAAAUAGUGUGAGAAAUUAUUCAAAUCGAUCUGUCAAGAUGUCGCAAGGUCAAAAGGGCUAUCCACAACAACAAUAUGGACAUCAGCAAGGACAACAGCAUGGACAACAGCAAGGAUAUGGACAACAACAUGGACAACAGCAAGGAUAUGGACAACAGCAAGGAUACGGACAACCAAGACAAGGGCAGAAUACGGUCGUUGUACAACAACCCCAGUUAGUAAGCGUCCAGAAUAUGAGGCCACCGGAUUAUUUAAUCUUUUCGAUAUUCACUUGCCUCUGUUGCUUCUGUCCUCUUGGAUUAGUUGCCCUUAUCUUUUCUAUAAUG